GUAGAUUUGUUGUAAAGUUUGUUUGCCUACUGAAUUGUUUUAUUUCAGCAGCUGCACUCGCACGAUAUUUUCAGUUACCAUCGACGUUCCAACGGAAGGUGAAAAUCCCCCCAAAGUAGGGAAAUUGAACCUUGUUGAUGUGGCCCGUAGUGAGAAUAUUGAAUGGCAAGCUGCCGUUGGUGGUGGAUUAGGAAAUAUUGAUCAGUCAUUCCUGACACUAGGACGUGUCAUUACGUUUUUUGUGGACAGAGCCGCGCAUGUACCUUUCAGGGAUUCAGGAUUAACUUACCUGUUAGAAAGUUCUUUUGGACGCCGGACAAAGACCUCCAUUAUUGCAACAAUAUCACCUACAGAAUGUAAUGUGGAUGCGACAUAUAGAACUUUGGAUGCUAUCACCAGAGCAAAGGACAAAUUCAGUCGUCGAGGAAUUAACUAGAAGCUUAAGAAGGAUCUUAUCAAGGUAGGACAAAAACUCAUCGUGUAUGAAUCUGUUCUUUGGAAAGGCAGCGUGUGUAUUUGUGCUUGUGCAUGCGCACAUGCAUCUGUGUGUCUGUAUAUUUGCUGUGGAGGCUGGCAUUUGUAAGCAAUUAAAUUGUGGCCAUCAUGUGUACAGGGCAGAGUGGAUUGCCGCCCAGGACUCUGAUUUUUGUGUAAUCUUCAUAAGGAGCACUCCAGAAGACCUGCAGUUUUAGGUCUCUGGGAUCCUUGGUUUGAAUCGCAAUCUGCACGUGGAUGUUUAAACAUUUUUUGUUCUGUAUGGGUAGAGUUUUUCAAUGAUCUUGUUCUGGAAGUCAUACCCAUUGUCUGAUUGGUCCCUGGCUUUGCCAGCAUGUGACACAGAAAGUCCCAGCUCAGCUCAGGCAGAAAAAUGUAUCACUGUUUUCGGCUGUUAAUUUGAAUUUGAAUCACGGAAGCAUUUUUUUGCAAGCUUGUAGCAGUAAGCGUACAUUCCAGUAGACUAGCAGCUUGGAGAAAUGUCGGGCGAUUUGCUGGUGAAACAGAACAGUUGACAAAGUACCAGGCAAAGACAUGAUUGUCAGCCAAUACUGUUUCAAGGCUUUGGCCGCUGAUUUGAGAUACUGUAAUAUAUUAAUAGCGUAUGAAACUAGUUCUAGCUGUUUUAUGAAGGUAGUCACAGAAUCAGUCCCUGUUUUUAUCCUCCUGAGCUUUGGUAAGGAAAUCUUCAGUUUCCCUGCACAAGGGUACAUUCCUCUAGAUUUAUGCACAGUUUUGAUGAGGGAAAUAAGAGCAGACAUUUGGUGGUAAAUAUCCUGCAAGCAGUUCACAGCACUCUGCUUAUAAUUCAUGUAACACUGACAUUUUUAACAAAAAAGAGAGCAAAGCUGUAACUCAGAUAUCUGCACAAAAAGGGCAAAAAACUUAAUGUAAAAUGCUAUUAAUGUAUCAUGCAUAACCACUUAUUUUAUAAGACAGUAUUGCUGACAAUUUAUAAUAUUAAAAUUUUAAGGUUAAACAAAUUCUUUUAACAAUCCUGUAAGUUUUAAUAAGAUUGCAGUGUAUA
This is a non-coding RNA of Zootermopsis nevadensis, 1522 nucleotides long. Lineage: Eukaryota; Metazoa; Arthropoda; Insecta; Blattodea; Termopsidae. The record is from RefSeq and is a predicted model, not a curated record.